CCUACGGGAGGCAGCAGUGAGGAAUAUUGGUCAAUGGGCGCAAGCCUGAACCAGCCAUGCCGCGUGCAGGAAGACGGUCCUAUGGAUUGUAAACUGCUUUUAUUUAGGAAUAAACCCCCAUACGUGUAUGGGGCUGAAUGUACUAAAAGAAUAAGCACCGGCUAACUCCGUGCCAGCAGCCGCGGUAAU
RNAcentral lists this ribosomal RNA (189 nucleotides) under uncultured bacterium. RNAcentral's name for it is "partial 16S ribosomal RNA". It matches the Rfam family "Bacterial small subunit ribosomal RNA", at positions 338 to 524 of the family's 1533-position model. The record is from RNAcentral.